Molecule: ribosomal RNA, 673 nt
Filed under: Bacillus thuringiensis
Lineage: Bacteria; Bacillati; Bacillota; Bacilli; Caryophanales; Bacillaceae
Description: bacterial SSU rRNA
Rfam family: Bacterial small subunit ribosomal RNA
Source: RNAcentral
CCGGAUAACAUUUUGAACCGCAUGGUUCGAAAUUGAAAGGCGGCUUCGGCUGUCACUUAUGGAUGGACCCGCGUCGCAUUAGCUAGUUGGUGAGGUAACGGCUCACCAAGGCAACGAUGCGUAGCCGACCUGAGAGGGUGAUCGGCCACACUGGGACUGAGACACGGCCCAGACUCCUACGGGAGGCAGCAGUAGGGAAUCUUCCGCAAUGGACGAAAGUCUGACGGAGCAACGCCGCGUGAGUGAUGAAGGCUUUCGGGUCGUAAAACUCUGUUGUUAGGGAAGAACAAGUGCUAGUUGAAUAAGCUGGCACCUUGACGGUACCUAACCAGAAAGCCACGGCUAACUACGUGCCAGCAGCCGCGGUAAUACGUAGGUGGCAAGCGUUAUCCGGAAUUAUUGGGCGUAAAGCGCGCGCAGGUGGUUUCUUAAGUCUGAUGUGAAAAGCCCACGGCUCAACCGUGGAGGGUCAUUGGAAAACUGGGAGACUUGAGUGCAGAAGAGGAAAGUGGGAAUUCCAUGUGUAGCGGUGAAAUGCGUAGAGAUAUGGAGGGAACACCAGUGGCGAAGGCGACUUUUCUGGUCUGUUAACUGACACUGAGGCGCGAAAGCCGUGGGGGAGCCAAACAGGAAUUAAGAAUACCCCUCGGGUAAGUCCCACGGCCGAUAAAAC